This 254-nucleotide ribosomal RNA is filed under the name uncultured bacterium. RNAcentral describes it as "partial 16S ribosomal RNA". It matches the Rfam family "Bacterial small subunit ribosomal RNA", at positions 524 to 776 of the family's 1533-position model. The record is from RNAcentral.
UACGGGGGGAGCAAGCGUUGUUCGGAUUUACUGGGCGUAAAGGGCGCGUAGGCGGUCGUGACAAGUCACUUGUGAAAUCUCCGGGCUUAACUCGGAACGGUCAAGUGAUACUGUCGGGCUAGAGUGCAGAAGGGGCAACUGGAAUUCUCGGUGUAGCGGUGAAAUGCGUAGAUAUCGAGAGGAACACCUGCGGCGAAGGCGGGUUGCUGGGCCGACACUGACGCUGAUGCGCGAAAGCCAGGGGAGCGAACGGG